This is a small nuclear RNA of Octodon degus (degu), 102 nucleotides long. The record is from Ensembl. Lineage: Eukaryota; Metazoa; Chordata; Mammalia; Rodentia; Octodontidae.
GAUUAGCUUGUGCUCAGGUACCAAAAUUGGAAUGGGACAGAGAAAUUUAACAUGGCCCUGGGCAAGGGUGACACACCAAUUCAUGAAGCAUUCCGUAUUUUU